RNAcentral lists this ribosomal RNA (500 nucleotides) under uncultured bacterium. Its description in RNAcentral is "bacterial SSU rRNA". It matches the Rfam family "Bacterial small subunit ribosomal RNA", at positions 32 to 507 of the family's 1533-position model. The record is from RNAcentral.
AAUCAACGCUGGCGGCGUGCCUAACACAUGCAAGUCGAACGGGAAGGGGGGCUUCGGCUCCCCGGAGAGUGGCGCACGGGUGAGUAACACGUGGGUAAUCUGCCUUUGGGUGGGGAAUAACGAUCCGAAAGGGUCGCUAAUACCGCAUAACGCAGCGGCACCGCAUGGUGACAGUUGUUAAAGGGGGGGAUCUUCGGACCUCCUGCCUGAAGAGGAGCCCGCGCCCGAUUAGCUUGUUGGUGAGGUAAUGGCUCACCAAGGCAACGAUCGGUAGCCGGCCUGAGAGGGCGGUCGGCCACACUGGCACUGAGACACGGGCCAGACUCCUACGGGAGGCAGCAGUGGGGAAUUUUGGGCAAUGGGCGCAAGCCUGACCCAGCAACGCCGCGUGAAGGACGAAAUCCCUCUGGGAUGUAAACUUCGAAAGUCAGGAAGAAAUCCACCCGGGUAAUAUCUGGGUGGGAUGACGGUACCUGACGUAAGCCCCGGCUAACUACGUG